GCCAGAGUGGUGGAACGGUAUACACGGCGGAUUCAAAAUCCGCUGCCGCAAGGCUUAGGGGUUCGAAUCCCCUCUCUGGUACCA
RNAcentral lists this transfer RNA (84 nucleotides) under Sulfurimonas gotlandica GD1. RNAcentral describes it as "tRNA-Leu (CAA) (tRNA-Leu-CAA-1-1)". It matches the Rfam family "tRNA". Rfam says of the family: Transfer RNA (tRNA) molecules are approximately 80 nucleotides in length. Lineage: Bacteria; Pseudomonadati; Campylobacterota; Epsilonproteobacteria; Campylobacterales; Sulfurimonadaceae. The record is from RNAcentral. RNAcentral also lists the same sequence under 3 other names.